GCGGGUAUCGUAUAAUGGCUAUUACCUCAGCCUUCCAAGCUGAUGAUACGGGUUCGAUUCCCGCUACCCGCUCCA
RNAcentral lists this transfer RNA (75 nucleotides) under Escherichia coli. Its description in RNAcentral is "tRNA-Gly". It matches the Rfam family "tRNA". From Rfam's summary of the family: Transfer RNA (tRNA) molecules are approximately 80 nucleotides in length. Their secondary structure includes four short double-helical elements and three loops (D, anti-codon, and T loops). Further hydrogen bonds mediate the characteristic L-shaped molecular structure. tRNAs have two regions of fundamental functional importance: the anti-codon, which is responsible for specific mRNA codon recognition, and the 3' end, to which the tRNAs corresponding amino acid is attached (by aminoacyl-tRNA synthetases). tRNAs cope with the degeneracy of the genetic code in two manners: having more than one tRNA (with a specific anti-codon) for a particular amino acid; and 'wobble' base-pairing, i.e. permitting non-standard base-pairing at the 3rd anti-codon position. Lineage: Bacteria; Pseudomonadati; Pseudomonadota; Gammaproteobacteria; Enterobacterales; Enterobacteriaceae. The record is from RNAcentral.